Molecule: ribosomal RNA, 164 nt
Filed under: Bacopa monnieri
Lineage: Eukaryota; Viridiplantae; Streptophyta; Magnoliopsida; Lamiales; Plantaginaceae
Description: 5.8S ribosomal RNA
Rfam family: 5.8S ribosomal RNA
About the family: 5.8S ribosomal RNA (5.8S rRNA) is a component of the large subunit of the eukaryotic ribosome. It is transcribed by RNA polymerase I as part of the 45S precursor that also contains 18S and 28S rRNA. Functionally, it is thought that 5.8S rRNA may be involved in ribosome translocation.
Source: RNAcentral
UGUCAAAACGACUCUCGGCAACGGAUAUCUCGGCUCUCGCAUCGAUGAAGAACGUAGCGAAAUGCGAUACUUGGUGUGAAUUGCAGAAUCCCGUGAACCAUCGAGUCUUUGAACGCAAGUUGCGCCCAAAGCCGUUAGGCCGAGGGCACGUCUGCCUGGGCGUC